GCUUCCUCGGGACAUUUUCCAUUAAGUAAUUUAUAUGAGUCAUUGAUCUUCCUUUCAUGGGCCCUGUAUAUUCUUAUUCCUAAAAUACAGAACUCUAAAAAUGAUUUAAGCACAAUAACUACGCCAAGUACUAUUUUAACGCAAGGCUUUGCCACAUCGGGUCUUUUAACUGAAAUGCAUCAAUCCACGAUACUAGUACCUGCUCUACAAUCUCAGUGGUUAAUGAUGCAUGUCAGUAUGAUGUUAUUAAGCUAUGCAACUCUUUUGUGCGGAUCCUUAUUAUCCCUGCAACUCGCUCGUCAUGAAUUGAAUUACAAUCAAAUUGCUUUAAGUCGGUUACCAAUCCCCAUAAUGGGAGAUUACACAAUUCAAACAAUUAGGAAUUUGUCUGAAAGUAAAAUAAACAAAGAAAAAUCUUCGAAUUCAAGAAUGAUUACUGAUUACUAA
This 447-nucleotide ribosomal RNA is filed under the name Triticum aestivum (bread wheat). RNAcentral's name for it is "partial small subunit ribosomal RNA". Lineage: Eukaryota; Viridiplantae; Streptophyta; Magnoliopsida; Poales; Poaceae. The record is from RNAcentral.